UGUGUGUAUGUGUGUGUGUGUGUGUGUAUGUAUGUAGAUAUGUAUAUCUACAUACAUACACACACACACACACACAUAUA
RNAcentral lists this microRNA precursor (80 nucleotides) under Pelobates cultripes (western spadefoot toad). Lineage: Eukaryota; Metazoa; Chordata; Amphibia; Anura; Pelobatidae. The record is from RNAcentral.